This 432-nucleotide unclassified non-coding RNA is filed under the name soil metagenome. Its description in RNAcentral is "partial contains 5.8S ribosomal RNA, internal transcribed spacer 2, and large subunit ribosomal RNA". The stretch from base 1 to 120 matches the Rfam family "5.8S ribosomal RNA", at positions 35 to 154 of the family's 154-position model. The record is from RNAcentral.
GAUGAAGAACGCAGUGAAAUGCGAUACGUAAUGUGAAUUGCAGAAUUCAGUGAAUCAUCGAAUCUUUGAACGCAUAUUGCGCUCUCUGGUAUUCCGGAGAGCAUGCUUGUUUGAGUAUCAGUAAACACCUCAACUUCCAUAUCUUUUUUGAAAUGGGAGUUGGACUUGAGUGAUCCCAACGCUUUUCCUCACCGAAAAGUGGCGGGUUACUUGAAAUGCAGGUGCAGCUGGACUUUUCUCUGAGCUAUAAGCAUAUCUAUUUAGUCUGCCUAAAAAACAGAUUAUUACCUUUGCUGCAGCUAACAUAAAGGAGAUUAGUUCUUGUGCUGACUGAUGCAGGAUUCACAAAGACAGGCUUCGGCCGACUUUGUAAACUCGAUCUCAAAUCAAGUAAGACUACCCGCUGAACUUAAGCAUAUCAUAAGCGGAGGA